RNAcentral lists this microRNA (20 nucleotides) under Bos taurus (domestic cattle). RNAcentral's name for it is "bta-miR-2371". Lineage: Eukaryota; Metazoa; Chordata; Mammalia; Artiodactyla; Bovidae. The record is from miRBase by way of RNAcentral.
UAUAGUUUUGUGUGGUUUUU